GACGAACGCUGGCGGCGUGCUUAACACAUGCAAGUCGAACGGAAAGGCCCUGCUUUUGUGGGGUGCUCGAGUGGCGAACGGGUGAGUAACACGUGAGUAACCUGCCCUUGACUUUGGGAUAACUUCAGGAAACUGGGGUUAAUACCGGAUAGGAGUUCCUGCUGCAUGGUGGGGGUUGGAAAGUUUCGGGGGUUGGGGAUGGACUCCCGGUUUUUACGUUUGUUGGUGGGGUAGUGGCUUACCAAGGCUUGGAUGGGCAGCCGGCCUGGGAGGGGGACCGGCCCAAUUGGGACGGGAGAAGGGCCCGAAUCCCAACGGGGGGAGAGGGGGGGGAAAUUUGCAAAAGGGGGGGAAGCCGGAGGAGAGAAGCCCCGGGGGGGGAGAACGGCCUUCGGGUUGUAAACCCGUUUAGCCGGGGAGGAAGUGGUGGUGACGGUAACGGGAGAAGAAGCACCGGCUAACUACGUG
This 468-nucleotide ribosomal RNA is filed under the name uncultured bacterium. Its description in RNAcentral is "partial 16S ribosomal RNA". It matches the Rfam family "Bacterial small subunit ribosomal RNA", at positions 28 to 507 of the family's 1533-position model. The record is from RNAcentral.